UAGAGUUUGAUCUGGCUCAGAACGAACGCUGGCGGCAUGCCUAACACAUGCAAGUCGAACGAGACCUUCGGGUCUAGUGGCGCACGGGUGCGUAACGCGUGGGAACCUGCCUUUAGGUUCGGAAUAACAGUGAGAAAUUACUGCUAAUACCGGAUAAUGUCUUCGGACCAAAGAUUUAUCGCCUUUAGAUGGGCCCGCGUUGGAUUAGCUAGUUGGUGGGGUAAAGGCCUACCAAGGCGACGAUCCAUAGCUGGUCUGAGAGGAUGAUCAGCCACACUGGGACUGAGACACGGCCCAGACUCCUACGGGAGGCAGCAGUGGGGAAUAUUGGACAAUGGGCGAAAGCCUGAUCCAGCAAUGCCGCGUGAGUGAUGAAGGCCUUAGGGUUGUAAAGCUCUUUUAUCAGGGAAGAAUCAAUGACGUGACCUGAAGA
RNAcentral lists this ribosomal RNA (433 nucleotides) under uncultured Agrobacterium sp. Its description in RNAcentral is "bacterial SSU rRNA". It matches the Rfam family "Bacterial small subunit ribosomal RNA", at positions 1 to 485 of the family's 1533-position model. Lineage: Bacteria; Pseudomonadati; Pseudomonadota; Alphaproteobacteria; Hyphomicrobiales; Rhizobiaceae. The record is from RNAcentral.